Molecule: ribosomal RNA, 500 nt
Filed under: uncultured bacterium
Lineage: Bacteria
Description: partial 16S ribosomal RNA
Rfam family: Bacterial small subunit ribosomal RNA
Source: RNAcentral
AUUGAACGCUGGCGGAAUGCUUUACACAUGCAAGUCGAACGGCAGCACGGACUUCGGUCUGGUGGCGAGUGGCGAACGGGUGAGUAAUGUAUCGGAACGUGCCCAGUCGUGGGGGAUAACGUAGUGAAAAUUACGCUAAUACCGCAUACGACCUAUGGAUGAAAGCGGGGGAUCGCAAGCCCUAGCGCGAUUGGACCGGCCGAUAUCAGAUUAGGUAGGUGGUGGGGUAAAGGCCCACCAAGCCAACGAUCUGUAGCUGGUCUGAGAGGACGACCAGCCACACUGGAACUGAGACACGGUCCAGACUCCUACGGGAGGCAGCAGUGGGGAAUUUUGGACAAUGGGCGAAAGCCUGAUCCAGCCAUUCCGCGUGCAGGAUGAAGGCCCUCGGGUUGUAAACUGCUUUUGUACAGAACGAAAAGGUUUCUACUAAUACUAGGAGCUCAUGACGGUACUGUAAGAAUAAGCACCGGCUAACUACGUGCCAGCCGCCGCGGUAA